UUUAAAAUUAUAAAUUUUAUAUGAAGGCAGGUAAGAAAUUGGUUGGAAAUUGACUUUGGGUUUGAGGUGGGUCAUGAUCGUUGAUUUGCUUGAACUUGUUCUCGAGCCCAAUGUCAUUUAAUUCUUGCUAAACUGCUUCAGACCGGUCUUGAUAAGACUAAAAGCAGGACCGUGACUUAAUAAAAAGGGUUAAUCAAACCU
RNAcentral lists this long non-coding RNA (201 nucleotides) under Phoenix dactylifera (date palm). RNAcentral's name for it is "long non-coding RNA (PDAC_LNC012397)". Lineage: Eukaryota; Viridiplantae; Streptophyta; Magnoliopsida; Arecales; Arecaceae. The record is from RNAcentral.